Molecule: ribosomal RNA, 112 nt
Filed under: Paramormyrops kingsleyae
Lineage: Eukaryota; Metazoa; Chordata; Actinopteri; Osteoglossiformes; Mormyridae
Source: RNAcentral
GUAAGCAGCCCUAGCACCUGAAGUCCAGAGUAGGUAAUCCACCUAAAGCUAAGCAGGUUUGGGCCAGUACUUGGAUGGGACACCAACUAGGAAAGCUGGGUUGCUGCUGGAA